GCUCUGGUGGCCCAAGUGGUUAGAGUGUCUUCCUUGGAUGUAGGAGGUUUCCGGUUCGAACCCCAGCCAAGACA
Non-coding RNA from Potamilus streckersoni, 74 nucleotides. The record is from the annotation of a GenBank genome assembly. NCBI's taxonomy places the organism in Eukaryota, Metazoa, Mollusca, Bivalvia, Unionida, Unionidae.